AAAUUGAAGAGUUUGAUCAUGGCUCAGAUUGAACGCUGGCGGCAGGCCUAACACAUGCAAGUCGAACGGUAGCACAGAGAGCUUGCUCUCGGGUGACGAGUGGCGGACGGGUGAGUAAUGUCUGGGAAACUGCCUGAUGGAGGGGGAUAACUACUGGAAACGGUAGCUAAUACCGCAUAACGUCGCAAGACCAAAGAGGGGGACCUUCGGGCCUCUUGCCAUCAGAUGUGCCCAGAUGGGAUUAGCUAGUAGGUGGGGUAACGGCUCACCUAGGCGACGAUCCCUAGCUGGUCUGAGAGGAUGACCAGCCACACUGGAACUGAGACACGGUCCAGACUCCUACGGGAGGCAGCAGUGGGGAAUAUUGCACAAUGGGCGCAAGCCUGAUGCAGCCAUGCCGCGUGUAUGAAGAAGGCCUUCGGGUUGUAAAGUACUUUCAGCGGGGAGGAAGGUGUUGAGGUUAAUAACCUCAGCAAUUGACGUUACCCGCAGAAGAAGCACCGGCUAACUCCGUGCCAGCAGCCGCGGUAAUACGGAGGGUGCAAGCGUUAAUCGGAAUUACUGGGCGUAAAGCGCACGCAGGCGGUCUGUCAAGUCGGAUGUGAAAUCCCCGGGCUCAACCUGGGAACUGCAUUCGAAACUGGCAGGCUAGAGUCUUGUAGAGGGGGGUAGAAUUCCAGGUGUAGCGGUGAAAUGCGUAGAGAUCUGGAGGAAUACCGGUGGCGAAGGCGGCCCCCUGGACAAAGACUGACGCUCAGGUGCGAAAGCGUGGGGAGCAAACAGGAUUAGAUACCCUGGUAGUCCACGCCGUAAACGAUGUCGACUUGGAGGUUGUGCCCUUGAGGCGUGGCUUCCGGAGCUAACGCGUUAAGUCGACCGCCUGGGGAGUACGGCCGCAAGGUUAAAACUCAAAUGAAUUGACGGGGGCCCGCACAAGCGGUGGAGCAUGUGGUUUAAUUCGAUGCAACGCGAAGAACCUUACCUACUCUUGACAUCCAGAGAACUUUCCAGAGAUGGAUUGGUGCCUUCGGGAACUCUGAGACAGGUGCUGCAUGGCUGUCGUCAGCUCGUGUUGUGAAAUGUUGGGUUAAGUCCCGCAACGAGCGCAACCCUUAUCCUUUGUUGCCAGCGGUCCGGCCGGGAACUCAAAGGAGACUGCCAGUGAUAAACUGGAGGAAGGUGGGGAUGACGUCAAGUCAUCAUGGCCCUUACGAGUAGGGCUACACACGUGCUACAAUGGCGCAUACAAAGAGAAGCGACCUCGCGAGAGCAAGCGGACCUCAUAAAGUGCGUCGUAGUCCGGAUUGGAGUCUGCAACUCGACUCCAUGAAGUCGGAAUCGCUAGUAAUCGUGGAUCAGAAUGCCACGGUGAAUACGUUCCCGGGCCUUGUACACACCGCCCGUCACACCAUGGGAGUGGGUUGCAAAAGAAGUAGGUAGCUUAACCUUCGGGAGGGCGCUUACCACUUUGUGAUUCAUGACUGGGGUGAAGUCGUAACAAGGUAACCGUAGGGGAACCUGCGGUUGGAUCACCUCCUUACCUUAAAGAA
This 1550-nucleotide ribosomal RNA is filed under the name Enterobacter bugandensis. RNAcentral's name for it is "bacterial SSU rRNA". It matches the Rfam family "Bacterial small subunit ribosomal RNA". Lineage: Bacteria; Pseudomonadati; Pseudomonadota; Gammaproteobacteria; Enterobacterales; Enterobacteriaceae. The record is from RNAcentral.